CCUACGGGUGGCAGCAGUGGGGAAUAUUGGACAAUGGGGGGAACCCUGAUCCAGCGACGCCGCGUGAGUGAAUAAGUAUUUCGGUAUGUAAAGCUCUAUCAGCAGGGAAGAAAGCAAUGACGGUACCUGACUAAGAAGCCCCGGCUAACUACGUGCCCGCAGCCGCGGGAAUACGUAGGGGGCAAGCGUUAUCCGGAUUUACUGGGUGUAAAGGGAGCGUAGACGGCGAUGCAAGUCUGAAGUGAAAGGCGGGGGCCCAACCCCCGGACUGUGUUGGAAACGGGAUGGCUGGAGUGCGGGAGAGGUAAGUGGAAGUCGUAGUGGAGCGGUGAAAUGCGUAGAUAUUAGGAGGAACACCAGUGGCGAAGGCGGCUUACUGGACGGUAACUGACGUUGAGGCUCGAAAGCGUGGGGAGCAAACAGGAGUAGAUACCCUGGUAGUC
This 443-nucleotide ribosomal RNA is filed under the name uncultured bacterium. RNAcentral's name for it is "partial 16S ribosomal RNA". It matches the Rfam family "Bacterial small subunit ribosomal RNA", at positions 338 to 795 of the family's 1533-position model. The record is from RNAcentral.